CUACGGGUGGCUCCAGUGGGGAAUAUUGCACAAUGGAGGAAACUCUGAUGCAGCAACGCCGCGUGGAGGAUGACACUUUUCGGAGCGUAAACUCCUUUUAUAUAGGAAGAAGAUGACGGUACUAUAUGAAUAAGCGCCGGCUAACUCCGUGCCAGCGCAGCCGCGGUAAUACGGAGGGCGCAAGCGUUACUCGGAAUCACUGGGCGUAAAGAGCGUGUAGGCGGAUUAAAAAGUCAGAAGUGAAAUCCUAUAGCUUAACUAUAGAACUGCUUCUGAAACUCUUAAUCUAGAAUAUGGGAGAGGUAGAUGGAACUUCUGGUGUAGGGGUAAAAUCCGUAGAGAUCAGAAGGAAUACCGAUUGCGAAGGCGAUCUACUAGAACAUUAUUGACGCUGAGACGCGAAAGCGUGGGGAGCAAACAGGAUUAGAUACCCUGGUAGUC
This 441-nucleotide ribosomal RNA is filed under the name uncultured bacterium. Its description in RNAcentral is "partial 16S ribosomal RNA". It matches the Rfam family "Bacterial small subunit ribosomal RNA", at positions 339 to 795 of the family's 1533-position model. The record is from RNAcentral.